Molecule: unclassified non-coding RNA, 96 nt
Organism: Cercocebus atys (sooty mangabey)
Lineage: Eukaryota; Metazoa; Chordata; Mammalia; Primates; Cercopithecidae
Rfam family: Y RNA
About the family: Y RNAs are components of the Ro ribonucleoprotein particle (Ro RNP), in association with Ro60 and La proteins. The Y RNAs and Ro60 and La proteins are well conserved, but the function of the Ro RNP is not known. In humans the RNA component can be one of four small RNAs -- hY1, hY3, hY4 and hY5.
Source: Ensembl
GGCUGGUCCAAUGGUAAUGUGUUAUCCAAAUUUAUUAACAUUAGUGUCACUAAGAUUGCUAUGCAACUCCCCACUGCUAAGUUUGAUUUGUCUUUU